This is a non-coding RNA of Myotis davidii, 75 nucleotides long. NCBI's taxonomy places the organism in Eukaryota, Metazoa, Chordata, Mammalia, Chiroptera, Vespertilionidae. The record is from Rfam.
GGCGGUUCUUGGGCGAGGUACCCCAGAAUAGGGCUCCCUCCUUUCUGGUUCUGGGUAGGUCACCUGAGAACUGCA